AUCGGUGCAGACCGGAACCUCCUGAGAGACUACGAUUGAGGGGCGCCGACGUCGGGGGAAACCCUCCCGUGAGAAAGCGGGAUACUGAUAAAGACAAAGACCGGAACCAAACUAAAGCGCCCGCAGUUGGCGCUUUAGUUUU
This 142-nucleotide small RNA is filed under the name Atlantibacter sp. RC6. Its description in RNAcentral is "sraL Hfq binding RNA". It matches the Rfam family "sraL Hfq binding RNA". Rfam says of the family: The SraL RNA ('sra' for small RNA), discovered in E. coli, and later in Salmonella Tiphimurium. It is expressed only in stationary phase. Lineage: Bacteria; Pseudomonadati; Pseudomonadota; Gammaproteobacteria; Enterobacterales; Enterobacteriaceae. The record is from RNAcentral.